Molecule: long non-coding RNA, 237 nt
Filed under: Elaeis guineensis (African oil palm)
Lineage: Eukaryota; Viridiplantae; Streptophyta; Magnoliopsida; Arecales; Arecaceae
Description: long non-coding RNA (EGUI_LNC063698)
Source: RNAcentral
UUCUCCUUAUAUGUAUAAUAUUUUGAGGAGAUAUUUUGUAAAAAAUCAAUUGGAGAAUUUAUUUACUAUAAAAAAAUAUGGAAAGAGGCAUCCCAUAUUUUUUUGACAUAUUUUGGGAUAUGAAAUUGUGAAGAGAGAUGACAUCUUAUAAGAGUCCAUGAUCUCUAGGACUCUUCACCAUUAUUUCUUACAUGCCUAUAAAAAGAGAUUUUUAUUUUUGUUUUGUAUGUGUAAGAG